GAUGAACGCUGGCGGCGUGCCUAAUACAUGCAAGUCGAGCGAACAGACGAGGAGCUUGCUCCUCUGACGUUAGCGGCGGACGGGUGAGUAACACGUGGAUAACCUACCUAUAAGACUGGGAUAACUUCGGGAAACCGGAGCUAAUACCGGAUAAUAUCUUGAACCGCAUGGUUCAAUAGUGAAAGACGGUUUUGCUGUCACUUAUAGAUGGUUCCGCGCCGCAUUAGCUAGUUGGUAAGGUAACGGCUUACCAAGGCAACGAUGCGUAGCCGACCUGAGAGGGGGAUCGGCCACACUGGAGCUGAGACACGGUCCAGGCUCCUACGGGAGGCAGCAGUAGGGAAUCUUCCGCAAUGGGCGAAAGCCUGACGGAGCAACGCCGCGUGAGUGAUGAAGGUCUUCGGAGCGUAAAACUGUGUUAUUAGGGAAGAACAAAUGUGUAAGUAACUAUGCACGUCUUGACGGUACCGGAUCAGAAAGCCACGGCUAACUACGUG
This 497-nucleotide ribosomal RNA is filed under the name uncultured bacterium. RNAcentral's name for it is "partial 16S ribosomal RNA". It matches the Rfam family "Bacterial small subunit ribosomal RNA", at positions 28 to 507 of the family's 1533-position model. The record is from RNAcentral.